This 162-nucleotide ribosomal RNA is filed under the name uncultured bacterium. RNAcentral describes it as "partial 16S ribosomal RNA". It matches the Rfam family "Bacterial small subunit ribosomal RNA", at positions 355 to 509 of the family's 1533-position model. The record is from RNAcentral.
UAGGGAAUCUUCCACAAUGGACGAAAGUUUGAUGGAGCAACGCCGCGUGAGUGAAGAAGGGUUUCGGCUCGUAAAGCUCUGUUGGUAGUGAAGAAAGAUAGAGGUAGUAACUGGCCUUUAUUUGACGGUAAUUACUUAGAAAGUCACGGCUAACUACGUGCC